RNAcentral lists this long non-coding RNA (1029 nucleotides) under Gouania willdenowi (blunt-snouted clingfish). Its description in RNAcentral is "lncRNA (ENSGWIG00000022624.1)". The record is from RNAcentral. Lineage: Eukaryota; Metazoa; Chordata; Actinopteri; Blenniiformes; Gobiesocidae.
GUUGGAAUUGAUUCAGUAAAUUUUUUUGUUCUUUUGAAAAUCUAAAAUAUAACUAACCCAAGUAUACAACUGUGCCUUAUAGUAUAAUGAUGUGUAGUACUAGUAUAGUGUGUGUGUGUGUGUGUGUGUGUGUGUGUGUGUGUGUGUGUGUGUGUGUGUGUGUGUGUGUGUGUGUGUGUGUGUGUGUGUGUGUGUGUGUGUGUGUGUGUGUGUGUGUGUGUGUGUGUGUGUGUGUGUGUGUGUGUGUGUGUGUGUGUGUGUGUGUGUGUGUGUGUGUCUCUCUAACAAUGUGUGCUGCUCAUCUUGAGUAAUCAAAUGCAACCCUUUUUAAGGAAUGUAUGGACAAACUGGACCUCAGACACUUGGUGUCCAUUUCAAUGGAUGGGCCCAGUGUGAACUGGAAACUCUUCGACAUUUUCCAGAAAGAUCAAUCUGAGCAGUACGGAGGUGUUCAGCUCAUUUGUGUGGGGAGCUGUGGCUUACACACGCUACACAACGCAUUCAAGUGUGGGUUCAGUGCAUGGCAGCUGGACAAGUUGCUGAGAGCAAUGCACACAUUGUUUCACAAUGUGCCUGCCAGGAGAGAGGAUUACAUCACCAUAACCAAGUCCAGUGUGUUCCCCCUGUCUUUCUGUGCCCAUCGUUGGGUAGAAAACCUUCCGGUUGUGGAGAGAGCCUUGGCUGUCUGGCCAUCACUUCUCCUGUACAUGGAAGCUGUGAAAACAAAGAGACUCUCCAACCCUGGGACAGCAUCCUAUGACACAGUUGCAGCAGCCAUAAAGGAUCCACUCAUCUUGGCCAAAUUGCAGUUCUACGCAGCACUUGCCAGGACCUUCACUCCCUUCUUGAAAAAAUAUCAGACAGAUAAUCCUGUGCUCCCAUUCCUCCCCAAGGAUCUCACCGAGUUGAUGAUGAGUCUACUCAGACGUUUCAUAAAGAGAGAAGUCCUCCACGAUAUCACUGCCCUGCAGCUGACCAAACUGGAUAUUACAGACAAGACCAUCUGGCUCAGCCCACAAGACAUCAGCA